GAUGAACGCUGGCGGCGUGCUUAACACAUGCAAGUCGAACGAUGAAGCCCAGCUUGCUGGGUGUAUUAGUGGCGAACGGGUGAGUAACACGUGAGUAACCUGCCCUUAACUCUGGGAUAAGCCUGGGAAACUGGGUCUAAUACCGGAUAGGAGCGCCUACCGCAUGGUGGGUGUUGGAAAGAUUUAUCGGUUUUGGAUGGACUCGCGGCCUAUCAGCUUGUUGGUGGGGGAAUGGCUCACCAAGGCGACGACGGGUAGCCGGCCUGAGAGGGUGACCGGCCACACUGGGACUGAGACACGGACCAGACUCCUACGGGAGGCAGCAGUGGGGAAUAUUGCACAAUGGGCGAAAGCCUGAUGCAGCGACGCCGCGUGAGGGAUGACGGCCUUCGGGUUGUAAACCUCUUUCAGUAGGGAAGAAGCGAAAGUGACGGUACCUGCAGAAGAAGCACCGGCUAACUACGUG
RNAcentral lists this ribosomal RNA (466 nucleotides) under uncultured bacterium. RNAcentral describes it as "partial 16S ribosomal RNA". It matches the Rfam family "Bacterial small subunit ribosomal RNA", at positions 28 to 507 of the family's 1533-position model. The record is from RNAcentral.